UACGAAGGGGGCUAGCGUUGUUCGGAAUUACUGGGCGUAAAGCGCACGUAGGCGGAUUGUUAAGUUAGGGGUGAAAUCCCAGGGCUCAACCCUGGAACUGCCUUUAAUACUGGCAAUCUCGAGUCCGAGAGAGGUGAGUGGAAUUCCGAGUAUAGAGGUGAAAUUCGUAGAUAUUCGGAGGAACACCAGUGGCGAAGGCGGCUCACUGGCUCGGUACUGACGCUGAGGUGCGAAAGCGUGGGGAGCAAACAGG
RNAcentral lists this ribosomal RNA (253 nucleotides) under uncultured bacterium. Its description in RNAcentral is "partial 16S ribosomal RNA". It matches the Rfam family "Bacterial small subunit ribosomal RNA", at positions 524 to 776 of the family's 1533-position model. The record is from RNAcentral.